AUGGAGGAGCAGAACGCCAGUCCCAAGAGCUCCAAGGAGAAGGACCACCUGAGAGAUAGAGGGAGUGGCCAACAGGAGGAUGGCACCAGGCGCACCAGCACCCUGCCCCGGCAGCUGCCUCCAUCCCACACCUCUUCCUCCUCCCGUCCACAGCUGCGGCAGCUUCAGGCUGGCCAAGGCCGGUCCCUGCACCGACUGACAUCGCCCCACAGCACCCAGGGCACCCAGGGCCGGUCCCUGCACCGAUUGACAACACCCCACAGCACCCAGGGCCGGUCUCUGCACCGACUGACAACACCCCGCAGCACCCAGGGCCGGUCCAUGCCCAGGCUGACAUCACCCCGCAGCACCCAGGGCACCCAGGGCCGGUCUCUGCACCGACUGACAACGCCCCGUAGCACCCAGGGCACCCAGGGGCGGUCCAUGCCCAGGCUGACAUCGCCCCGUAGCACCCAGGGCCGGUCCAUGCCCAGGCUGACAUCGCCCCAUAGCACCCAGGGCCGGUCCCUGCACCGGCUGACAUCGUCCAACAGCUCCAAGGGCCAGUCCCGGUCCCAGCUGACAUCGCCCCGCAGCACCGAGGGCCGGUCCGUGCCCAGGCUGACAUCGCCUGGUAACUCCAAGGGCCGGUCCUGGUCCCGGCUGACAUCGCCCCACAGUACCAGGGACACUGAGGCCCGGUCCCGAUCCCAGCUGACAUUGCCGAGGAGCACCAAGGGCCCAUCUGUGUCCUGGCUGACAUCACCCGGCAGCUCCAAGGCCCGGUCCCAGCUGACAUCACCUGGCAAUACUGGGGACACCGAGGACCAGUCCAUGCCCAGGCUGACAUCGUCCAGCAGCUCCAAGGCCCGGUCCCGGUCCCGGCUGACAUCACCUGGCAAUACCGGGGACACCAAGGGCCGGUCCCAGUCCCAGCUGACAUCGCCCAGCAGCUCCAAGGCCCGGUCCCAGUCCCGGCUGACAUCACCUGGCAAUACCGGGGACACCAAGGGCCGGUCCCAAUCCCAGCUGACAUUGCCCGGCAGCACCGAGGACCAGGCCAUUCCCAGGCUGACAUUGCCCGGCAGCUCCAAGGGCCGGUCACGGCUGACAUUGCCCGGCAGUACCGGGGGCACUGAGGGCCAGUCCCGGUCCCGGCUGACAUUGCCUGGCAGCACCGAGGACCAGGCCAUACGCAGGCUGACAUUGCCCCAUAGCUCCAAGGGCCGGUCCCAGUCUCGGCUGACAUUGCCCAGCAGCACCAAGGCCUGGUCCCGGCUGACCUUGCCCCACAAUACCAAGGACACCGAGGACCCCUCCGUGUCCCAGCUGCCAUCGCCCCGCAGCUCCCUGGGCUCAGGGGGCACCGAGAGCCGUCCCAGCCCGGACAAGGGGGAACAAGGCCCGUGGGGGCGCAGGUCCCACCCUGCUGGCUCCUCACAGCCGCCCGUGAGGAGCCGCCGGGCCUGCAGCGGCCCAGUGGGGCCAGAACCGGCCUCCGUGAGGAAACCAUCUCCUGACCCACAGAGAGAGGCCUCUCACCGUGCCGAGCAGGAAACCCAGACGGAGGCCUGGGCCCAAGAGGUGGAUUCAGCUGUUCAAUACACUGAGCAGAUGACACAGACACAUCUUGUGGCAGAACAGGAGAAAAACUCAGCUGCUCCCCUCAUGGUUGACCAGAAGACACAGACUGAGACUCCAAGACAAGUGAAUUCAGCUUCCCCUCAAACCAACAAGAGGACACAGAGCAAGGCCCACGGCUCUGCCCGCUCCACAGGCACUGGUGCCCCCGCUCAGCAGCAGCCGCCCUCGCAGCUGUGCUGGGCGUUCUGGCGCUCCUGCACAUCUGGACAGCCUCCUGCUGCCAGCACCCUGCAGGGGCCCGGGGACAGCCGCUGCUCCAGGCAGCCAAAACGUCCUGAGCGCGGCACGCCAGAGAAGUGGGGAUGGAUGACACUGCCGCCCUACUCCUGGCCAUGGCUCAUUGAGAUGAAUCAGUUUUAAUAAAAUAUUUCAUUCCUCUAAUCGUGCCCACCUGUGCCUGGUCCAUCAGGAGAAAGUCGGCUGCAGGUACGGCCCGUGCUGAGCGGGAGAGCCCCCAUGCUCCUCCAGCCAAGCAGAGCCUCUGCCAGGCUUCAGAUCCCCGGGCUGGUGCUGGUGGCCAGCCCUCAGCUGAACCCUAUCAGCUCCCUCCCACCCACCUGCUAUCCAAGUGAACAUUUCGGAGCAUAAAUUUGGCGAGUUUUCCCUAAGGCUUCACCUGCUUAGGCCCAUGAGGAGUCUCCCUGGUGUGGGGGUAGGAGCACCUCUCCCCCUCUCUUUUUAAGACCAGCCUUGACUUCUCCUGUACCACUUUGGGGAGUUCCUCUUGGUGGUGUGUGGGCAAAGCUCUCCUCCUGGUCCUGGCAUCAGGGCAUUCCUGCAGCCCUUUCUGAAAACAAACAGAACUACAGCAUUGCCCUGAGCUCCCUCUGCUCCCUCAGGGGUGAGUAAAGCCAGCCAGGGGCCAGCUGCCCCACGGACGGGCUGGUGGGGCUGGGGCCAGACAGGGCUACCCCAACAUCGGUGUUUGAGGAUGGCUGGGCUUGGCUGCAGAGCUCCCAGCAGCAGGGUCACGCAGGAAGCUGGCAGGAGCAGGGAAGGCUCCCUGUUUUUCCAGCUGUGCAGACACACGGGCCCUGCAGGUCCCACUUCCCCUCUCCCUUCCCCAAGCCACAGACUCAGGCUGACACGCACAGAAAUCUGCCUGGACACGGAAAAAAAGGCAGGAGCCAGGGAGCCUGAUGCAGGUUUUUUCUGUACAUCAGUGUUUUUGACACCACAGCCUGUUGCUGCAUAUAAUAAAACAGAAAUCAGAAAGAGCA
This 2843-nucleotide long non-coding RNA is filed under the name Cyanistes caeruleus (blue tit). RNAcentral describes it as "lncRNA (ENSCCEG00000019776.1)". The record is from RNAcentral. Lineage: Eukaryota; Metazoa; Chordata; Aves; Passeriformes; Paridae.